CGAGAAAGGGGCGGAUAUGAUUAAGGAGGAUUGGUGCAAGGAUUUGCGGGUGGAGGAAGGUGACGAUACGCGGCAAACGUAGAAAGGGACUCCAUCAAAUUCUCGAAAGUUAUGUCGUGGAUACCACCGGACCUAGCAACUCUUUGCCAGCCACAUUCCACCGUGUCGACCUGCCAACCGCCGGCCUUUAUGUUUCUGGCUCUGAUCGCCCAUCUGUACGGCUAUUCCCAAGACCCUUUCCACAGUCCAUCUCGUGAUUUCGAUUCGUUUCGCCCGUGGAAAUUCGACGAGUGCGUGACAUCCAAUGCGAGGCGUUCGUCCAAGGACACGUUACGCGACAACAACAACAUAGAGAACGAUAGAAAAGGAUCGAGCUAUGGAUCGAUAGAACUGUCGAGGGAAAAGGAUAACGAAAGUAACGAAAGAGAGACGGUCGAACCAUCGAUCGUGAAUUUCGAAGGAAUUUGUAACGUCUAUUCUCCGCGAACUGAAAUCGUUCGUGAACCGUUGACUAGAAUUUACGAUGCAGUUCGAAUUGAUCAAGAAAGAAUUUAUAUUCCGAGAAUGUUGAAUGAUAUUGCAAACGCAAUGUCUCCAAUAUAUCUAUUAACGAGCGAGGAUCAAGAUGAUAAUUCAAAGGCGAUGGAAAGAAUUUUCGUCGAUAAUCGUGACGAAAAUGUUGAAACGAUUUCUUCGUACGAAGCUUGGAGAAGUGGUGCCAGUGAUUUUGAUCAGUACAAGAAUUUUAUGUAUCCUAAGAAGUUCGUGGACAGUCAGACUAGGAUCAAUUUUCCGGAAAUUUCCACGAAUUUUCCUAGAGAAGAGUACGAUUUUAUUAUCGUUGGAGCUGGAUCGGCUGGAUGCGUCCUCGCGAAUAGAUUGAGCGAAGUAAAACACUGGAAGAUAUUAUUAUUGGAGGCUGGCAUAGAAGAACCAUUGGUGGCUGAUGUUCCUGCCUUUGCCUCUAUGUUGCAAGCCAGCAAUAUCGAUUGGAUGUAUCGUACACAACCAGAGAGACACUCUUGUCGAUCAAGAAGGGAUAGAAGCUGUGCAUGGGCAAGGGGUAAAGUAAUGGGUGGAUCCAGUACUAUCAACUAUAUGAUUUAUAUACGUGGCAAUCCAAAUGACUACAACGAAUGGGCAGAGAAAGGGAAUUAUGGAUGGAGUUACGAAGAAGUUUUACCAUAUUUUCUCAAGUCUGAGAACAAUAAGGAUCGAGAGAUCGUAAAAGAAAACCCAUAUUAUCACAACGAAGGCGGUUAUCAAUCGGUGGAACGAUUUCCAUACACUGAUAUCAACGCGAAAAUUCUUUUGAACGCGUGGCAGGAACUCGGUCACGUAACCGUGGAUGCAAACGCAGGGACGCAAUUGGGAGUAAUGAAAUUGCAAAUGACUUCCCUCCAUGGAAAGCGCGAAAGUGUCAAUAGCGCGUAUAUCAGACCUAUCAGACACAAACGAAAGAAUCUCACGAUCGAGACACAGGCUCACGUCACUAGAUUACUCACAGAUCCAACCACGAAACGCGUGACAGGUGUCGAUUACACGUGUACAUCGACAGGAUUGAGUAAAUCCGUUCUGGCUAGGAAAGAGGUAAUUCUUUCAGCCGGCGCGAUUAACUCGCCCAAAAUUUUAAUGUUGUCCGGCAUAGGGCCGGCCGAUGAAUUAAAAAAACAUGGAAUUCCAGUGAUCAGCGACUUACCAGUUGGAAGGAAUCUUCAGGAUCACGUAACAAUGGACGGUCUGGUGAUCGCGUUGAACAGUACCUCGACGACGAAAGACAACCGUAUGAAGAAAAAUGACAUCUGCUAUUACGAGAAGACUCAGAUGGGGCCACUGUCUGCCACUGGAACACUCGUAUGCGGAGCGUUUCUUCAAACUGCGUUCGAACAUGAACAUGGCUUGCCAGAUAUUCAAUACGCCUUCGAUGCUAGCAAUCAGAUGGAUUUUUUGAACGAUCCAGCAGAGUUUGGGGAGACUAGGGUCGAGCCUUUGUCUUAUUACGACGCCAUCAAUAUUAGACCUAUCUUACUGUCGCCUAGAAGCAAAGGGUUCUUAUUGUUGAACGAUACAGAUCCUUUGUGGGGGCCACCAUCUAUCUAUCCUGCGUACUUCACUGCCUAUCCCGAUGCAGACGUGAUGGUGGAGGGGAUAGAGACUGCUUUGAAGUUGUUCCAUACCACGUGGUUUCGGGAGUAUGGGUUUCGACUUAUCGACACGCCUCUGCCAUCUUGCAAACGUUUCAUUUUUGGCACGAGGGAGUAUUGGAAGUGCGCGAUGAUGGAGUACACGGCGACGAUCUAUCAUCCCGUAGGCACGUGCAAAAUGGGUCCAGAUUGGGAUUCCGAAGCUGUGGUCGAUCCCGAGUUGAGGGUUUACGGAGUGGCCGGUUUGAGGGUCGUGGACGCUUCGAUUAUGCCUAAAAUCGUUAGAGGAAACACGAAUGCGCCUACCAUUAUGAUCGCGGAAAAGGCUAGCGAUAUGAUCAAGGAUGAAUGGUUGUAUGCGUGGAAGUAAAAGUUUGUUUGCGAUUAUAUCGAAGACGAGAACUUUGGACAGUAACGAUGUAAUAAAUAAAAAGUUGGUAUCGAUCCAACUGAUUUUUAAUGUGUUUUCGAUAUGCAGCACACGAUAGCAUUCAGACACCAUAUCAUGGAACAGGAAUGAAAACGCUUGACUGAGGCGAUUUCAAAAUCAUCUGGGGGAAAGUGAAAUGUUUCUUAUAUUCGAAAUAUAACGUAUCGACGAUCAAGAGGAAUAAGGGAUAUUAAAAUGGAGAGAAAGAGAGAGAGAAAGAAAAAAAGAAAAUUUGAUUGGUUUAUGGCCAAAGUGAAAAAUUAAUGAAAGUGAAAGUGGAUAAAAUGAGACUUGAUUUCAAAAAUAGAUUGGACAUUUUUUGAAGAAGAAAUAUUUUUAAUUUUUAAUUUUAAUUUGUAA
Molecule: RNA transcript, 2934 nt
Organism: Apis mellifera (honey bee)
Lineage: Eukaryota; Metazoa; Arthropoda; Insecta; Hymenoptera; Apidae
Gene name: glucose dehydrogenase [FAD, quinone]
Exons: 7
Source: RefSeq, a predicted model, not a curated record